This 439-nucleotide ribosomal RNA is filed under the name uncultured bacterium. RNAcentral's name for it is "partial 16S ribosomal RNA". It matches the Rfam family "Bacterial small subunit ribosomal RNA", at positions 339 to 795 of the family's 1533-position model. The record is from RNAcentral.
CUACGGGAGGCUCCAGUGAGGAAUAUUGCACAAUGGGGGGAACCCUGAUGCAGCAACGCCGCGUGGAGGAUGACGCAUUUUGGUGUGUAAACUCCUUUUAUAUGUCAAGAAAAUGACGGUAGCAUAUGAAUAAGCACCGGCUAACUCCGUGCCAGCAGCCGCGGUAAUACGGAGGGUGCAAGCGUUACUCGGAAUCACUGGGCGUAAAGGACGCGUAGGCGGGUUGGAAAGUCAGGUGUGAAAUCCUACAGCUUAACUGUAGAACUGCACUUGAAACUUCUAAUCUAGAGUAUGGGAGGGGGAGAUGGAAUUAGUGGUGUAGGGGUAAGAUCCGUAGAUAUCACUAGGAAUACCUAAAGCGAAGGCGAUCUCCUGGAACAUUACUGACGCUAAGGCGUGAAAGCGUGGGGAGCAAACAGGAUUAGAUACCCCAGUAGUC